Non-coding RNA from Myodes glareolus (Bank vole), 841 nucleotides. The record is from RefSeq and is a predicted model, not a curated record. Lineage: Eukaryota; Metazoa; Chordata; Mammalia; Rodentia; Cricetidae.
GUGUGUGUGUGUGUGUGUCUGGCUAGCUCACUGGCUCUCUGUUUGUCUGUGUCUGUGUGUAUACAGUGCAUGUGCCAUGUAUGCAUUUGUAGAGGGGUGAAGCUGACACCAGUGUCUUCCUCCACCCGAACCUGGAGCUCACUGAUUAGCUAGACUGCCUGGUCAGAGUGCGCCUUUCCUUCCCCUGGGACUCCCCUGUCUGUGUCUCCUAACACUGGAGUCACACGCAUGUGCUGCCAUACCCUGAUUUUUACUUGGGUGCUGGGGUUCGAAACUCAACUCCUUCAUGAUUCUCCCCAUAGAGAUGGCCUCUGCAGAGUCUGGGACACCUGAAAGCAAGUUAUAGAGAGAGAAGGGCUUUCCUCUCUCCUCCUGAACAUGAUUCCUGAACACAGAAGCAGAGGCAACCACAGAGAAAGCUAUGACCCGCUUCUCCAAUAGAGAACCCCAAGUCUGCAUACCUUCCGCACUGUCCUGGGAAAGGUCCCUCACCAGGUCUGCAAGCUCCCGGACAUUCUGAAGAUGGUGGGUUCCUGAAACCGCACCUUCAGCUCAAACUUUCCGAGGAGUCGGGGGAUGAUUUCAGGGUGUGCUCAGUUCCAUCUUGGCUGACACUGUUUUCCUUCCUUGAAAGAAGUCUCUAAAGCCCUGAAUUUUCAGAAUAGUAGGACAUUGAAAUACAAGAGUCAGACACAGAAAUGAUACAGAAAGAAGGGUCUCUUUCUGAACCUAGAGCAGAGGAGGGAAGGGUAGCAACUCUUAGCGAGUUUUUGGGGUGCUUUUCAGGGCUGGUGAAAUAUGUCCUACAACAGUGGCUGUGUCUGCAUCGUUGUAACUUUAU